This 378-nucleotide ribosomal RNA is filed under the name uncultured bacterium. RNAcentral describes it as "bacterial SSU rRNA". It matches the Rfam family "Bacterial small subunit ribosomal RNA", at positions 790 to 1167 of the family's 1533-position model. The record is from RNAcentral.
GUAGUCCACGCCGUAAACGAUGUCAACUAGCUGUUGGGACUCUUGUAGUUCUGGUAGCGCAGCUAACGCACUAAGUUGACCGCCUGGGGAGUACGGCCGCAAGGUUAAAACUCAAAUGAAUUGACGGGGGCCCGCACAAGCGGUGGAGCAUGUGGUUUAAUUCGACGCAACGCGAAAAACCUUACCUACUCUUGACAUCCUGCGAACUUUCUAGAGAUAGAUUGGUGCCUUCGGGAGCGCAGAGACAGGUGCUGCAUGGCUGUCGUCAGCUCGUGUCGUGAGAUGUUGGGUUAAGUCCCGCAACGAGCGCAACCCUUGUCCUUAGUUGCCAGCACGUAAUGGUGGGAACUCUAGGGAGACUGCCGGUGACAAACCGGA